This 253-nucleotide ribosomal RNA is filed under the name uncultured bacterium. RNAcentral's name for it is "partial 16S ribosomal RNA". It matches the Rfam family "Archaeal small subunit ribosomal RNA", at positions 474 to 727 of the family's 1478-position model. The record is from RNAcentral.
UACCAGCACCCCGAGUGGUCGGGACGAUUAUUGGGCCUAAAGCAUCCGUAGCCGGUUCUACAAGUCUUCCGUUAAAUCCACCUGCUUAACAGAUGGGCUGCGGAGGAUACUAUAGAGCUAGGAGGCGGGAGAGGCAAGCGGUACUUAGUGGGUAGGGGUAAAAUCCGUUGAUCCAUUGAAGACCACCAGUGGCGAAGGCGGCUUGCCAGAACGCACUCGACGGUGAGGGAUGAAAGCUGGGGGAGCAAACGGG